Rhipicephalus microplus (southern cattle tick) is the source of this 507-nucleotide long non-coding RNA. NCBI's taxonomy places the organism in Eukaryota, Metazoa, Arthropoda, Arachnida, Ixodida, Ixodidae. The record is from RefSeq and is a predicted model, not a curated record.
GGCGUCAUAACGCUCUCACAGCUUCCUUAAAAGACUGCGCUUUUAGGUUGGUGUUGAACCAUGAGCCUCCUUCACAUACUGUGACACUAGCGAAGUUUCGAAGUGAAAACUUUUGUGGGGAACGCAAUAUGGCACAGCCAUCUGUUUUUUGUGCUGUCUUUCUCCUGUUGAUAACAACGGUGUCUGCUCUAGCUGAAGAAGAAAGUAGUGAAGAUGAUAUAGUUUAGAUCGAAAGGAGAACGCUACAGAGGUAUUGAUCUACCAAACUGAAAACAGCACAUGCGCCGUGUUUUGGAUCCUAACCUAUAAAAGAAGUUCUCGUAACAGUCGUCAUCGUCAGCAUUAUCCUGACUACGUCAUCUGGAGAAAAUACCCUCACCUCACCAGCUCACGUGCUUCUGUGCAAACUGUGGUGAUGUUAACUCCGCGAACUUCAGAACCCUAUUUGGUCAUCUAACUUUCAAUCUCUAUAUAUAUAGCCUUGCCUUCAAGUCUAGUCUGAUGCUC